AGGUAAAUGGCAAAUUUUAUUAGUAACGUUCCCCUUCCCAAUCUAGCCAAAAUCUUCCCUUGGGAGUAACAACCUUUUUGGGUUGACAUCCCUACUCGAGGACGGGUUUUAGUCGGUAGGCGUUUCGGCAAAUCCGACACUACCCCCCUUUCAGGGGGUCUUUUGAAGAUUUCCCCUCCUCGAGGAUA
Molecule: non-coding RNA, 188 nt
Organism: Agrilus planipennis (emerald ash borer)
Lineage: Eukaryota; Metazoa; Arthropoda; Insecta; Coleoptera; Buprestidae
Source: Rfam